GACGAACGCUGGCGGCGUGCUUAACACAUGCAAGUCGAACGGAAAGGCCCUGCUUUUGUGGGGUGCUCGAGUGGCGAACGGGUGAGUAACACGUGAGUAACCUGCCCUUGACUUUGGGAUAACUUCAGGAAACUGGGGCUAAUACCGGAUAGGAGCUCCUGCUGCUUGGUGGGGGUUGGAAAGUUUCGGCGGUUGGGGAUGGACUCGCGGCUUAUCAGCUUGUUGGUGGGGUAGUGGCUUACCAAGGCUUUGACGGGUAGCCGGCCUGAGAGGGUGACCGGCCACAUUGGGACUGAGAUACGGCCCAGACUCCUACGGGAGGCAGCAGUGGGGAAUAUUGCACAAUAGGCGGAAGCCUGAUGCAGCAACGCCGCGUGCGGGAUGACGGCCUUCGGGUUGUAAACCGCUUUCGCCUGUGACGAAGCGUGAGUGACGGUAAUGGGUAAAGAAGCACCGGCUAACUACGUG
Molecule: ribosomal RNA, 468 nt
Filed under: uncultured bacterium
Lineage: Bacteria
Description: partial 16S ribosomal RNA
Rfam family: Bacterial small subunit ribosomal RNA
Source: RNAcentral